This 75-nucleotide transfer RNA is filed under the name Candidatus Altimarinota bacterium. RNAcentral describes it as "tRNA-Gly". It matches the Rfam family "tRNA". Rfam says of the family: Transfer RNA (tRNA) molecules are approximately 80 nucleotides in length. The record is from RNAcentral. Lineage: Bacteria; Candidatus Altimarinota.
GCGGAUAUCGUAUAGUGGCUAUUAUGAUGCCUUGCCAUGGCAUAGAUAGGGGUUCGACUCCCCUUAUCCGCUCCA